GAUUUAAAUGACACAACUAUAUACUCUGAGGAAAGGCAAUGUAAAAAAUGUACAAGUUAUUGCAGAGCCUUGAAAUCGAGAAGCAGACAACAAUCUGAUGAGAAGCAGAGAGAAUGAAAGUUGCUGGGCAUAAUUUAGACAAAGCUAUUGGGUUAAAGAUGGAUGCACGGUUGGAGAAUUUCUAAAGACAUAAACUCCUUCAAAGUCUGAGGCAGCCAUAUUAUAGAUUGAAAGCUUGGAGUGAUGAAGCAAUGAGAGAAGAGAUACCAAUAAUGAAGCAUCCACUGAAG
This 290-nucleotide long non-coding RNA is filed under the name Vigna radiata. Its description in RNAcentral is "long non-coding RNA (VRAD_LNC007475)". The record is from RNAcentral. Lineage: Eukaryota; Viridiplantae; Streptophyta; Magnoliopsida; Fabales; Fabaceae.